RNAcentral lists this ribosomal RNA (445 nucleotides) under uncultured bacterium. RNAcentral's name for it is "partial 16S ribosomal RNA". It matches the Rfam family "Bacterial small subunit ribosomal RNA", at positions 354 to 796 of the family's 1533-position model. The record is from RNAcentral.
GUAGGGAAUAUUGGGCAAUGGAUGCAAGUCUGACCCAGCCAUCCCGCGUGCCGGAAGAAGGCCCUCAGGGUUGUAAACGGCUUUUGACGGUGAAGAACCGACAGGAUGCGUCCUGUUUUGACGGUAGCCGUUGAAUAAGCACCGGCUAACUCCGUGCCAGCAGCCGCGGUAAUACGGAGGGUGCGAGCGUUGUCCGGAUUUAUUGGGUUUAAAGGGUGCGUAGGCUGGAAGGUCAGUCAGCGGUGAAAAGCUAUCGCUUAACGAUAAUCUUGCCGCAGAUACUUCCUUUCUUGGAUGAGGAGGAGGCCACUGGAACGGAUGGUGUAGCGGUGAAAUGCAUAGAUAUCAUCCAGAACACCGAUUGCGAAGGCAGGUGGCUGUACCUUAAUCGACGCUGAUGCACGAAAGCAUGGGGAGCAAACAGGAUUAGAAACCCGGGUAGUCC